CGUAGGCAACCUGCCCUUACGAAUGGGAUAACCCAGCGAAAGCUGGACUAAUACCGUAUAACAUUUUGAUAUCACCUGUUAUUAUAACCAAAGGUUGCUUUUCGGAGCAAUCGCGUAAGGAUGGGCCUGCGUUCCAUUAGUUAGUUGGUGAGGUAAUGGCUCACCAAGACGACGAUGGAUAGCUGGUUUGAGAGAGUGAUCAGCCACACUGGGACUGAGAUACGGCCCAG
Molecule: ribosomal RNA, 230 nt
Filed under: uncultured bacterium
Lineage: Bacteria
Description: partial 16S ribosomal RNA
Rfam family: Bacterial small subunit ribosomal RNA
Source: RNAcentral